UAGGGAAUUUUCCACAAUGGACGAAAGUCUGAUGGAGCAACGCCGCGUGAACGAUGAAGGUCUUCGGAUUGUAAAGUUCUGUUGUCAGGGACGAACAAGUACCGUUCGAAUAGGGCGGUACCUUGACGGUACCUGACGAGAAAGCCACGGCUAACUACGUGCCAG
RNAcentral lists this ribosomal RNA (165 nucleotides) under uncultured bacterium. RNAcentral's name for it is "partial 16S rRNA". It matches the Rfam family "Bacterial small subunit ribosomal RNA", at positions 355 to 511 of the family's 1533-position model. The record is from RNAcentral.